RNAcentral lists this transfer RNA (75 nucleotides) under Microbacterium sp. JB110. RNAcentral's name for it is "tRNA-Arg". It matches the Rfam family "tRNA". From Rfam's summary of the family: Transfer RNA (tRNA) molecules are approximately 80 nucleotides in length. Their secondary structure includes four short double-helical elements and three loops (D, anti-codon, and T loops). Lineage: Bacteria; Bacillati; Actinomycetota; Actinomycetes; Micrococcales; Microbacteriaceae. The record is from RNAcentral.
CCCCCAGUAGCUCAGCGGAAGAGCAUCGAUCUUCUAAGUCGCCGGUCGCACGUUCGAAUCGUGCCUGGGGGACGA